RNAcentral lists this ribosomal RNA (475 nucleotides) under uncultured organism. RNAcentral describes it as "partial 16S ribosomal RNA". It matches the Rfam family "Bacterial small subunit ribosomal RNA", at positions 333 to 799 of the family's 1533-position model. The record is from RNAcentral.
ACACUCCUGCGGGAGGCAGCAGUGGGGAAUUUUGGACAAUGGGCGAAAGCCUGAUCCAGCAAUGCCGCGUGAGUGAAGAAGGCCUUCGGGUUGUAAAGCUCUUUUGUCAGGGAAGAAACGGUGAGAGCUAAUAUCUUUUGCUAAUGACGGUACCUGAAGAAUAAGCACCGGCUAACUACGUGCCAGCAGCCGCGGUAAUACGUAGGGUGCAAGCGUUAAUCGGAAUUACUGGGCGUAAAGCGUGCGCAGGCGGUUUUGUAAGUCUGAUGUGAAAUCCCCGGGCUCAACCUGGGAAUUGCAUUGGAGACUGCAAGGCUAGAAUCUGGCAGAGGGGGGUAGAAUUCCACGUGUAGCAGUGAAAUGCGUAGAUAUGUGGAGGAACACCGAUGGCGAAGGCAGCCCCCUGGGUCAAGAUUGACGCUCAUGCACGAAAGCGUGGGGAGCAAACAGGAUUAGAAACCCUGGUAGUCCCAUG